AUGGUCAUUGGGAAGGAAAAGGCUAAACAGUUUAAGGAGGAAUCUCGAUGGCUGGCGAUCGCACGAGUUAACACGGAUCGUCCUUUUAGUUUGUCGUUGUUUUUUGAUACCAUGAAGUUUAUCUGGGGACUAGCGCAAACGCCCAAAUUCAGAGAAGCGGGAGCGAAUAGAUUCAUAUUCCAGAUGUUUUGCUUGGGAGAUUGGAAGAAAGUAGUCCACGGUGGUCCAUGGCUCUUUCGAAACUAUGUAGUCAUUGAGGACUACGAUGGGGCGACGGAUCCAGAAGAAUAUGUGCUUGAUGGCAUGUAUGUAUGGGCGCAGAUUCACAAGGUUCCCGAUCUUUACCGCCAUCCAGAGGUGGUCGAUGAGCUAGCACACAGAAUUGGCAAAGUCAGAGAGGUUCAACUCCGUCCUACUCUGUACUAUGAGGGUGACUAUGUCAGGGUUAGGGUUCGUGUCCUCACUGCGAAACCUUUGACAAGAUUCACUCCUCUAUCUGUGAAGGGAGAGGGGAGACGAAUGUUAGUGGUGAAAUAUGAAAAUUUUCCUUUCUUCUGCAAGGUCUGUGGUCUUAUGGGACACGGUUUUGAGGAGUGUGGCAAUGGGGUAUGGAUGGAGACUGACAAGAAGUGGGGAAGCUGGAUGAUAGCCAAGCGCAGAGAGGUUUCUUACUCACAGCCCAAGGACGAGAGGUCUUUCUUCCGAGGAGGCUGUGGCAGUGGUGGAGCAAGAGGUAGAGGACGUGAAACAGCCCAGCGGGGAGGAGACCCAGUAAGAAACACAGGCCAUGGACAUGAAGGAGAAGUUGAAAGAUCGAGGAUGUCGCCUAGAGGGGGGGUGAAUAGGCACUUUAAAAUAAUUACGGUUUAG
This 870-nucleotide ribosomal RNA is filed under the name Triticum aestivum (bread wheat). Its description in RNAcentral is "partial small subunit ribosomal RNA". Lineage: Eukaryota; Viridiplantae; Streptophyta; Magnoliopsida; Poales; Poaceae. The record is from RNAcentral.